GCCGGGCGCGGUGGCGCGCGCCUGUAAUCCCAGCUCCUCGGGAGGCUGAGGUUGGCGGAUCGUGGGUGCUCGGGAGUUCGGGGCUGCGGCGAUGUGUGGAGCGGGCGUCCGCACCGGGCCUGGCACCAACAUGGGGCUCCCGGGGGAGCCCGGGGGUGCCAGGUUGUCUAAGGAGGGGGGGACCAGGCCCAGGCCGGACGCGGAGCAGGUCAAACUCCCCGUGCUGGGCGGCGGUGGGACCGCGCCCGCGAGCAACGCCUGCAGUUCUGCCCGGGACAUCUGACGAGACCCGGUCUCUU
Molecule: unclassified non-coding RNA, 299 nt
Organism: Callithrix jacchus (white-tufted-ear marmoset)
Lineage: Eukaryota; Metazoa; Chordata; Mammalia; Primates; Cebidae
Rfam family: Metazoan signal recognition particle RNA
About the family: The signal recognition particle (SRP) is a universally conserved ribonucleoprotein.
Source: Ensembl